RNAcentral lists this ribosomal RNA (253 nucleotides) under uncultured bacterium. Its description in RNAcentral is "partial 16S ribosomal RNA". It matches the Rfam family "Bacterial small subunit ribosomal RNA", at positions 524 to 776 of the family's 1533-position model. The record is from RNAcentral.
UACGGAGGGGGCAAGCGUUACUCGGAAUUAUUGGGCGUAAAGGGCGCGUAGGCGGUCGUGUGCGUCGGAGGUGAAAUCCCCGGGCUUAACCCGGGAGCUGCCUCCGAUACGGCACGGCUUGAGUCCGGGAGAGGGGAGCAGAAUUCCCAGUGUAGCGGUGAAAUGCGUAGAUAUUGGGAGGAAUACCAGUGGCGAAGGCGGCUCCCUGGACCGGUACUGACGCUGAUGCGCGAAAGCGUGGGUAGCAAACAGG